RNAcentral lists this ribosomal RNA (301 nucleotides) under uncultured bacterium. RNAcentral describes it as "partial 16S ribosomal RNA". It matches the Rfam family "Bacterial small subunit ribosomal RNA", at positions 509 to 807 of the family's 1533-position model. The record is from RNAcentral.
CAGUAGCCACGGGAAUGCGUAGGUGGCAAGCGUUGUCCGGAAUUAUUGGGCGUAAAGGGCCCGCAGGCGGUUUCUUAAGUCUGAUGUGAAAGCCCCCGGCUCAACCGGGGAGGGUCAUUGGAAACUGGGAAACUUGAGUGCAGAAGAGGAGAGUGGAAUUCCACGUGUAGCGGUGAAAUGCGUAGAGAUGUGGAGGAACACCAGUGGCGAAGGCGACUCUCUGGUCUGUAACUGACGCUGAGGAGCGAAAGCGUGGGGAGCGAACAGGAUUAGAUACCCCCGUAGUCCCUGUCUCUUAUAC